This 893-nucleotide ribosomal RNA is filed under the name Colletotrichum cosmi. RNAcentral describes it as "LSU rRNA". It matches the Rfam family "Eukaryotic large subunit ribosomal RNA", at positions 38 to 962 of the family's 3401-position model. The record is from RNAcentral. Lineage: Eukaryota; Fungi; Ascomycota; Sordariomycetes; Glomerellales; Glomerellaceae.
GCAUAUCAAUAAGCGGAGGAAAAGAAACCAACAGGGAUUGCCCCAGUAACGGCGAGUGAAGCGGCAACAGCUCAAAUUUGAAAUCUGGCCCCAGGCCCGAGUUGUAAUUUGCAGAGGAUGCUUUUGGCGCGGUGCCUUCCGAGUUCCCUGGAACGGGACGCCAUAGAGGGUGAGAGCCCCGUACGGUUGGACACCAAGCCUUUGUAAAGCUCCUUCGACGAGUCGAGUAGUUUGGGAAUGCUGCUCUAAAUGGGAGGUACAUUUCUUCUAAAGCUAAAUAUUGGCCAGAGACCGAUAGCGCACAAGUAGAGUGAUCGAAAGAUGAAAAGCACUUUGAAAAGAGGGUUAAACAGCACGUGAAAUUGUUAAAAGGGAAGCGCUUGUGACCAGACUUGCGUCCGGUGAAUCACCCAGCUCUCGCGGCUGGGGCACUUCGCCGGCACAGGCCAGCAUCAGCUUGCCGUCGGGGACAAAAGCUUCAGGAACGUGGCUCCUCUCGGGGAGUGUUAUAGCCUGUUGCACAAUACCCUUCGGCGGGCUGAGGUACGCGCUCCGCAAGGAUGCUGGCGUAAUGGUCAUCAGCGACCCGUCUUGAAACACGGACCAAGGAGUCAACCUUAUGUGCGAGUGUUUGGGUGUCAAACCCCUACGCGUAAUGAAAGUGAACGCAGGUGAGAGCUUCGGCGCAUCAUCGACCGAUCCUGAUGUUCUCGGAUGGAUUUGAGUAAGAGCAUAUAGGGUUGGACCCGAAAGAAGGUGAACUAUGCGUGUGUAGGGUGAAGCCAGAGGAAACUCUGGUGGAGGCUCGCAGCGGUUUCUGACGUGCAAAUCGAUCGUCAAACAUGCGCAUGGGGCGAAAGACUAAUCGAACCUUCUAGUAGCUGGUUUCCGCG